Molecule: ribosomal RNA, 497 nt
Filed under: uncultured bacterium
Lineage: Bacteria
Description: partial 16S ribosomal RNA
Rfam family: Bacterial small subunit ribosomal RNA
Source: RNAcentral
GAUGAACGCUGGCGGCGUGCCUAAUACAUGCGAGUCGAGCGAACGGACGAGAAGCUUGCUUCUCUGAUGUUAGCGGCGGACGGGUGAGUAACACGUGGAUAACCUACCUAUAAGACUGGGAUAACUUCGGGAAACCGGAGCUAAUACCGGAUGAUAUUUUGAACCGCAUGGUUCAAAAGUGAAAGACGGUCUUGCUGUCACUUAUAGAUGGAUCCGCGCUGCAUUAGCUAGUUGGUAAGGUAACGGCUUACCAAGGAAACGAUGCAUAGCCGACCUGAGAGGGUGAUCGGCCACACUGGAACUGAGACACGGUCCAGACUCCUACGGGAGGCAGCAGUAGGGAAUCUUCCGCAAUGGGCGAAAGCCUGACGGAGCAACGCCGCGUGAGUGAUGAAGGUCUUCGGAUCGUAAAACUCUGUUAUUAGGGAAGAGCAUAUGUGUAAGUAACUGUGCACAUCUUGACGGUACCUAAUCAGAAAGCCACGGCUAACUACGUG